AUUAGAGGCGCGGCUGUUCAUCAGUCACGCGGGGGAGCCGCUCAAGCGGCUGUGAACCCGCGCAAAAGGGGACGCCGCCGAAAUGCCGACCCGCUUGAGGGGGAAGGCGUUGGGCGACCGGAGAAUAUCCGGCCGACUGUCACGGUCCGGGAACGGACGGUGGAGCGCUAUUG
Molecule: non-coding RNA, 173 nt
Filed under: human gut metagenome
Description: Lysine riboswitch
Rfam family: Lysine riboswitch aptamer
About the family: Riboswitches are metabolite binding domains within certain messenger RNAs that serve as precision sensors for their corresponding targets.
Source: RNAcentral